This 673-nucleotide ribosomal RNA is filed under the name uncultured fungus. RNAcentral describes it as "SSU rRNA". It matches the Rfam family "Eukaryotic small subunit ribosomal RNA", at positions 626 to 1307 of the family's 1831-position model. Lineage: Eukaryota; Fungi. The record is from RNAcentral.
GCUCGUAGUUGAAUUUUUGGAUUGCGCUGCGGUCCACCUAGCGGUGAGCACUGCAGUGCUGAUUCUUCCUUUCUGGCUAGCCAUGCUGCCCUUCACUGGGUGGUGUGGUGAACCAGGAGUUUUACUGGGAAAAAAUUAGAGUGUUCAAAGCAGGCUUACGCUUGAAUACAUUAGCAUGGAAUAAUAGAAUAGGACUUUGGUUCUAUUUUGUUGGUUUCUAGGACUGAAGUAAUGAUUAAUAGGGACAGUUGGGGGCAUUACUAUUUAAUUGUCAGAGGUGAAAUUCUUGGAUUUAUGAAAGACUAACUUCUGCGAAAGCAUUUGCCAAGGAUGUUUUCAUUAAUCAAGGACGAAAGUUAGGGGAUCGAAGACUAUUAGAUACCGUCUUAUUCUUAACCAUAAACUAUGCCAACUCAAGAUCGGUGGAACGUCAUUUACCCAUCCAUCGGCGCUGGAUGAGAAAUCAAAGUUUUUGGGUUCUGGGGGGAGUAUGGUCGCAAGGGUAAAACUUAAAGGAAUUGAAGGAAGGGCACCACCAAGAGUGGAGCCUGCGGCUUAAUUUGACUCAACACGGGAAAACUUACCAGGCCAGAAAAUAAAAAGGAUUGACAGAUUGAGAGCUCUUUCUUGAUUUUAUGGGUGGUGGUGCAUGGCCGUUCUUAGUUGGUGGAGU